Molecule: ribosomal RNA, 420 nt
Filed under: Triticum aestivum (bread wheat)
Lineage: Eukaryota; Viridiplantae; Streptophyta; Magnoliopsida; Poales; Poaceae
Description: partial small subunit ribosomal RNA
Source: RNAcentral
AUGACUAUUCUAUCUCUCGAAACAUGUAGGGCUUAUUUGGUUGGCGUCCUCGCUGUGCCGCGCCUUGCCUGGAGCAUCGCAGGGAUCUGUUGGGAGUUUUUUUGGUUGUUGCCGUCAAAUGAAAACUUGCUUGCCGAGGCAUCCACACAUCUUGAUUGUCCUAGAAGAUGUGUGACUGGAACGUUGGCAUCGAUCGUUCUAGAAAGUGAUUGGGGGAAACAACAACGACACUACAACGACGUUGCAUCCGGUGUAGGAGAAGCUCCACUCUUUGAGACGACGCCAUCACUUGUGUACUGUGGAAGAGCUCUGACUGCCAGCCACAGAAAUGAGGUCGAAUGCCCUGCCGGAGCUCUACCUUUCAUUGCAAGGAAUCAUGAUUCAGCUCUAACUCAAAUUUUCAUUGUAUCCCAUUUCUAA